UUCUCUUGAUGUUUAGCCAACGAGCAUACAACGUCCAAGGCCUCUAGUGGUAUGUACUCUGGUCUCUAGAUAUGCCAGCUUGAUGAAGAUUCAGGAAAUAUCAAUGAAGCUGAAAUUGCAGCAUUAACAAGCUCCACUAAUUUAGUAAGAAAUUGAUGAUAAUGGCAUUAAAAAGAUUAUCUUUUUCGAGUCUGAGAAAAAUAGGAAAUCCGAAGAGAAAGGAGAGCGGUAAAAAAAAUCAAGCCAAAGCUUGAUCAACACUUUCAAGCUAGAUACAUAUUUAUUUCUAUUUUCAAACAUGCAUGAGCAAAUUACCUUGGGUUAAUGAUAUAUAUGCAGACCUAAAAAUCCAAAGAAGAAUGAAAAUAGCUACCAUUAUAGGUCCUUUUCCAAGAGUUGGAUACAUUAGGAGGAAAAAUUGUGGGAGAAGGGAAAGAAAAACUUACUCUAGCCAAUGAAUACAGCAACACUGAAGAGAAAUUUGAGGCGAAACAGAGAUUCCAAACGCGAAGAGUCUCAGAGCAUCUGGAGACUGUCGAUGUAAACGAUGAAGAAAGAAAAAGUGGAUACACAGCACAUGGAAAGUUAAUUUACAGAUUACCCUAGAGUUAUUAUUAAAAUUCCAUAUUUUCCCUUGUUCAUCC
Molecule: long non-coding RNA, 644 nt
Filed under: Solanum tuberosum (potato)
Lineage: Eukaryota; Viridiplantae; Streptophyta; Magnoliopsida; Solanales; Solanaceae
Description: long non-coding RNA (STUB_LNC004941)
Source: RNAcentral